RNAcentral lists this ribosomal RNA (966 nucleotides) under uncultured bacterium. RNAcentral's name for it is "bacterial SSU rRNA". It matches the Rfam family "Bacterial small subunit ribosomal RNA", at positions 534 to 1500 of the family's 1533-position model. The record is from RNAcentral.
GGGGACGUUUCCGGAUUAUUGGGCGUAAGAGCUCGUAGGCGGUUUGUCGCGUCUGCCGUGAAAGUCCGGGGCUCAACUCCGGAUCUGCGGUGGGUACGGGCAGACUAGAGUGAUGUAGGGGAGACUGGAAUUCCUGGUGUAGCGGUGAAAUGCGCAGAUAUCAGGAGGAACACCGAUGGCGAAGGCAGGUCUCUGGGCAUUAACUGACGCUGAGGAGCGAAAGCAUGGGGAGCGAACAGGAUUAGAUACCCUGGUAGUCCAUGCCGUAAACGUUGGGCACUAGGUGUGGGGGACAUUCCACGUUUUCCGCGCCGUAGCUAACGCAUUAAGUGCCCCGCCUGGGGAGUACGGCCGCAAGGCUAAAACUCAAAGGAAUUGACGGGGGCCCGCACAAGCGGCGGAGCAUGCGGAUUAAUUCGAUGCAACGCGAAGAACCUUACCAAGGCUUGACAUGAACCGGAAAGGCCUGGAAACAGGUCCCCCACUUGUGGUCGGUUUACAGGUGGUGCAUGGUUGUCGUCAGCUCGUGUCGUGAGAUGUUGGGUUAAGUCCCGCAACGAGCGCAACCCUCGUUCCAUGUUGCCAGCGCGUAAUGGCGGGGACUCAUGGGAGACUGCCGGGGUCAACUCGGAGGAAGGUGGGGACGACGUCAAAUCAUCAUGCCCCUUAUGUCUUGGGCUUCACGCAUGCUACAAUGGCCGGUACAAAGGGUUGCGAUACUGUGAGGUGGAGCUAAUCCCAAAAAGCCGGUCUCAGUUCGGAUUGGGGUCUGCAACUCGACCCCAUGAAGUCGGAGUCGCUAGUAAUCGCAGAUCAGCAACGCUGCGGUGAAUACGUUCUCGGGCCUUGUACACACCGCCCGUCACAUCACGAAAGUGGUUUGUACUAGAAGUCGCAAUUCGAACCGCAAGGACGAUAGCGCCCAAGGUAUGAACCAUGAUUGGGGUGAAGUCGUAACAAGGUAAC